AUACGGAGGGGGCAAGCGUUGUUCGGAAUUAUUGGGCGUAAAGGGCGCGUAGGCGGUUUGGUUAGUCAGUCGUGAAAUCCCUCGGCUCAACCGAGGAACUGCGAUUGAUACUGCCGAACUUGAGUCCCGGAGAGGGUAGUGGAAUUCCCAGUGUAGCGGUGAAAUGCGUAGAUAUCCGGAGGAACACCAGUGGCGAAGGCGGCUUCCUGGACCAAUACUGACGCUCAGGCGCGAAAGCGUGGGUAGCAAACAGGAUUAGAAACCCGGGUAGUCC
Molecule: ribosomal RNA, 274 nt
Filed under: uncultured bacterium
Lineage: Bacteria
Description: partial 16S ribosomal RNA
Rfam family: Bacterial small subunit ribosomal RNA
Source: RNAcentral